AUAGUUGUCUAGCAAUAGAUGAUUAUGAGACCGGCAAACGGGUGCGGAACACGUACGCAACCUUCCCAAAACUGGUGAAUAGCCCUCCGAAAGGAGGAUUAAUGCACCGUAACAUAAUGAAGUGGCAUCACUUUAUUAUUAUAGCUCCGGCGGUUUUGGAUGGGCGUGCGCCUGAUUAGGUAGUUGGUGAGGGUAACGGCCCACCAAGCCUUCGAUCAGUAACUGGUGUGAGAGCACGACCAGUCACACGGGCACUGAGACACGGGCCCGACUCCUACGGGAGGCAGCAGUAAGGAAUAUUGGUCAAUGGACGCAAGUCUGAACCAGCCAUGCCGCGUGAAGGAUGACGGCCCUCUGGGUUGUAAACUUCUUUUAUCUGGGACAAAAAAAGGGCUUUCUAGCUCGACUGACGGUACCAGAGGAAUAAGCACCGGCUAACUCCGUGCCAGCAGCCGCGGUAAUACGGAGGGUGCAAGCGUUAUCCGGAUUUACUGGGUUUAAAGGGUGCGUAGGUGGGUCUGUAAGUCAGUGGUGAAAUCUCCGAGCUUAACUCGGAAACUGCCAUUGAUACUAUAGAUCUUGAAUUAUCUGGAGGUAAGCGGAAUAUGUCAUGUAGCGGUGAAAUGCUUAGAUAUG
RNAcentral lists this ribosomal RNA (636 nucleotides) under uncultured bacterium. RNAcentral describes it as "bacterial SSU rRNA". It matches the Rfam family "Bacterial small subunit ribosomal RNA", at positions 68 to 698 of the family's 1533-position model. The record is from RNAcentral.